Molecule: ribosomal RNA, 262 nt
Filed under: uncultured prokaryote
Description: partial 16S ribosomal RNA
Rfam family: Bacterial small subunit ribosomal RNA
Source: RNAcentral
UACGUAGGUGGCAAGCGUUGUCCGGAUUUAUUGGGCGUAAAGCGAGCGCAGGCGGUUCCUUAAGUCUGAUGUGAAAGCCCACGGCUCAACCGUGGAAGGUCAUUGGAAACUGGGGAACUUGAGUGCAGAAGAGGAGAGUGGAAUUCCAUGUGUAGCGGUGAAAUGCGUAGAUAUAUGGAGGAACACCAGUGGCGAAGGCGACUCUCUGGUCUGUAACUAACGCUGAGGCUCGAAAGCGUGGGGAGGCAAACAGGAUUAGAUA